CUUGGUGGUUGGAGCGAGGCGGACCCACCCGUAACCAUCCCGAACACGGAAGUGAAACGCCUCAGCGCCGACGAUACUGCAUCCGCAAGGGCGUGGGAAAAUAGGUCACCGCCAGGG
RNAcentral lists this ribosomal RNA (117 nucleotides) under SAR202 cluster bacterium. The record is from RNAcentral. Lineage: Bacteria; Bacillati; Chloroflexota; Dehalococcoidia.